AUUGAGGUUAUUUGUUUUUCGUUAGUACCAGAAGCACAGUUCACGUUGUGGCUCUAAUUUUGUGAUUUCUCUCUCUGUGAAUAAUAUAAACAAGGAUGUCUGGUAGAGAAGGAGGAAAAAAGAAGCCCUUAAAGGCACCCAAAAAAGCACAGGCUGAAAUGGAUGAUGAUGAUCUAGCUCACAAACAGAAGAUGAAGGAACAACAAAAGGCAUUGCAAGAUGCUAAAGCUAAAGCCUCACAGAAGGGACCACUUGUGGGAGGAGGUAUCAAGAAAUCUGGAAAGAAAUGAUUAAUACUUUUUUGUUGAAUGUAAAUAACCUGCAUUAACUGUCGAGAUUAGACAUGUCAAAUAUAGUUUUCUUACAUUGAA
This is a long non-coding RNA of Harmonia axyridis, 371 nucleotides long. RefSeq lists it as uncharacterized. The transcript has 2 exons. The record is from RefSeq and is a predicted model, not a curated record. Lineage: Eukaryota; Metazoa; Arthropoda; Insecta; Coleoptera; Coccinellidae.